This 618-nucleotide ribosomal RNA is filed under the name Streptococcus anginosus. RNAcentral describes it as "bacterial SSU rRNA". It matches the Rfam family "Bacterial small subunit ribosomal RNA", at positions 372 to 981 of the family's 1533-position model. The record is from RNAcentral. Lineage: Bacteria; Bacillati; Bacillota; Bacilli; Lactobacillales; Streptococcaceae.
UGGGGGGAACCCUGACCGAGCAACGCCGCGUGAGUGAAGAAGGUUUUCGGAUCGUAAAGCUCUGUUGUUAAGGAAGAACGAGUGUGAGAAUGGAAAGUUCAUACUGUGACGGUACUUAACCAGAAAGGGACGGCUAACUACGUGCCAGCAGCCGCGGUAAUACGUAGGUCCCGAGCGUUGUCCGGAUUUAUUGGGCGUAAAGCGAGCGCAGGCGGUUAGAAAAGUCUGAAGUGAAAGGCAGUGGCUCAACCAUUGUAGGCUUUGGAAACUGUUUAACUUGAGUGCAGAAGGGGAGAGUGGAAUUCCAUGUGUAGCGGUGAAAUGCGUAGAUAUAUGGAGGAACACCGGUGGCGAAAGCGGCUCUCUGGUCUGUAACUGACGCUGAGGCUCGAAAGCGUGGGGAGCGAACAGGAUUAGAUACCCUGGUAGUCCACGCCGUAAACGAUGAGUGCUAGGUGUUAGGUCCUUUCCGGGACUUAGUGCCGCAGCUAACGCAUUAAGCACUCCGCCUGGGGAGUACGACCGCAAGGUUGAAACUCCAAGGAACUGACGGGAGCCCGCACAAGCGGUGGAGCAUGUGGUUUAAUUCGAAGCAACGCGAAGAACCUUACCAGGUCU